RNAcentral lists this ribosomal RNA (497 nucleotides) under uncultured bacterium. Its description in RNAcentral is "partial 16S ribosomal RNA". It matches the Rfam family "Bacterial small subunit ribosomal RNA", at positions 28 to 507 of the family's 1533-position model. The record is from RNAcentral.
GAUGAACGCUGGCGGCGUGCCUAAUACAUGCAAGUCGAGCGAACAGACGAGGAGCUUGCUCCUCUGACGUUAGCGGCGGACGGGUGAGUAACACGUGGAUAACCUACCUAUAAGACUGGGAUAACUUCGGGAAACCGGAGCUAAUACCGGAUAAUAUAUUGAACCGCAUGGUUCAAUAGUGAAAGACGGUUUUGCUGUCACUUAUAGAUGGAUCCGCGCCGCAUUAGCUAGUUGGUAAGGUAACGGCUUACCAAGGCAACGAUGCGUAGCCGACCUGAGAGGGUGAUCGGCCACACUGGAACUGAGACACGGUCCAGACUCCUAAGGGAGGCAGCAGUAGGGAAUCUUCCGAAAUGGGCGAAAGCCUGACGGAGCAACGCCGCGUGAGUGAUGAAGGUAUUCGGAUCGUAAAACUCUGUUAUUAGGGAAGAACAAAUGUGUAAGUAACUAUGCACGUCUUGACGGUACCUAAGCAGAAAGCCACGGCUAACUACGUG